GAGAGAGAGAGAGAGAGAGAGAGAGAGAGAGAGAGAGAGAGAGAGAGAGAGAGAGAGAGAGAGAGAGAUUAGUGUCAGCAGAAGAAGGAAAUAGGAGGGGAAAAAAGUAGAGGAGGUAGUAGUGUGGCUUACCUUAAUCUUCAUCUGCCUUGGCAAGAAAAACAAACCUUUUAAUGGAAGCCAAUGGAGAGACUCUAAAAUAAGGAGGUUGAAUUAGUACCAGGUGUGAAGUCUAGGGCAAGAGGAAUCCCAAAUUUUGACACAGAAAUUUCAGUACAGAGAUUCCUUGAAGUUUCCUAUUAGGGGAAGGAAUAUAAAGUUUAUUUAAAUAUUGGGAACUGCUGUCCAGGCCAGCGGGUGACUUAAAGCCCCCUUGCCCUUGGCUAGCUCUCAGGAGAAUGAGCAAGGCAAUUAGUCUAAUUACUAGGUCUAAUUACUUUAUAUGCAGACUUGGAUUUGGGAGAAAAUUGGGUUUGGUUCUUGGCUUUGCCACUUAAUAGCUAUGCCAAGGCUGGCAAGUUUUACCAAGUCUCAGUUUCAUGGCCUAUACAAUGGGAACAAAUACAUUUCUUACCUCACAGGGUUGUCAUGAGGGAAGUGCUUGUGAAACUCUUUUGGAGCUCAAAGUUAUUACUUUGACACACACAGAUUCUCUUUAACAGCUCAGAUCCACUAAUGAAAAUGAGAUCUUUAUGGAUACAAAAUACUUUCACAGAUCUUGAAGCAACCCUGUGCAGUAGGGAGGUGGGUCAUUUAGCAGGUAGACAAAUGAAGUCUCAGAAAAGUUGAGACUUGCUCAAGACUUGCUGAAUUUCAGAUAGUUAUCUUUUGAGGUGGAGUCAAGAUGGCAGAGUAGAGGCAACGAAAGUUCAGACCUCUGAAAACCCUUCCUUAUGGAUCACAAACCAAAUGCUCCUAGGGGACUGAAUCAAACCUAACAACAAGACAGAGCCAAGGAACCCUCCUGCUGAACUCAACUUAAAAGGUUUUGACCUCAGGGCACUUCCAGCUCUGCAAUUCAGCUGCCCUUAAUCUCAUCAGAGCCUUCAGAGGACCAGGAAGCUCAAGCUCCAACACCCUUCCCCCACAGACUGUGCUGAGCGAUUUGCUGACUAAGCGCCAAGGGUGAAGGCUGACAGAAAGGCCCCAAAACAGAGAUCUAACACAAAAUGAGAGGAGCAAAAGCACAGGCAACUACAGGGAGUAAAGAAGGGGUAAAUAUGAGCAAACAACAGAAAAAGAAAUUACAAUUGACAGCUUCUUUCCAGGCAAUGAACAAAGAGCAAAUGGAACUGAGAAGGAUGAAGGAACAGCAGCAAAAUAACAGAAACUCCAGUGAUUUGGAUACAGGCUUUGGAAGAACUCAAAAUACAAUUCAAAACACAAUUAAGAGAGGCUGAAGACAACUGGGGAAAGAACUUAAAAGCAAGAUAAGUCAUCUGGAAACAGAAAACAGUGUCUUGAAAGCCAAAAUUAAUCAGCUUGAAAAUGAGGCAAAGGAGAUGAAAGAUCAGAAGGAGAAGGAUGACCAAAAAGCCAGGGAUGCAAUCGAGUCUUUAAUAUCCAGAAUACAACAACUAGAAGCAAGUGACUUCACAAGGCAGCAGGACACUAUAAAGCAAAAUCAAAAGAAUGAAAAAAUUGAGAAAAAUAUGAAGCAUCUCAUUCAUAAAACAGAAGAUUUAGAAAAUCAUUCCAGGAGAGACAACUUAAGAAUCAUUGAUCUACCAGAAGACCAUGACAAAAGAAAAAACCUGGACAUCAUACUACAGAAAAUUAUCCAAGAAAAACUGCCCUGAUAUUCUAGAACAAGAGGGAAAAGUGGAGAUUGAAAGAACCCACAGAUCACCUCCUAUACUUAAUCCCCAACUGACAACACCCAGAAAUGUUAUAGCCAAAUUCAAGAACUAUCAGACUAAGGAAAAAAUAUUACAAGCUGCUAAGAAGAAGUCAUUCAGAUACCAUGGAACCACAGUGGGGAUAACACAGCAUCUGGCUGCAUCUACUCUGAAGGACCAAAAGGCAUGGAAUAUGAUAUCCUGGAAAGCAAGGGAACUAGGUCUACAACCAAGAAUCAACUAUCUAGCAAAACUGACUAUAUUCUUACAGGGGAAAGUAUGGUCAUUUAACAAAAUAGAAGAAUUCCAAGCAUUUGUAAAGAAAAGACCAGACCUGAACAGAAAAUCUGAUGCACAAACACAGAACUCAAAAGAAUCAUCAAAAGAAAAAACCAUGACAAAAUUCAUUUGGAAGAACAAAAGAUCAAGGAUAUCCAGGGAAAUAAUGGAGAAAAAAAUGAAGGUGGCCUUGCAGUCCCAGAUCUCAAACUAUACUAUAAGGCAAUGAUCAUCAAAACAAUAUGGUACUGGCUAAGAGACAGAAAGGAGGAUUAGUGGUAUAGACUUGGAGUAAGUGACCUCAGCAAAACAAGCCCAAAGUUCCCAGCUUUUGGAACAAAAAUCCACUAUUUGAUAAAAACUGCUGGGAAAAUUGGAAGACAGUGUGGGAGAGAUUGGAUUUGGAUCAACACCUCACACCCUACAUCAAGAUAAACUCAGAAUGGAUGAAUGACUUGAAUAUAAAGAAGGAAACUAUAAGUAAAUUAUGUGAACACAGAAUAGUAUACAUGUCAGACCUUUGGGAAGGGAAAGAUUUUAAAACCAAGCAAGAGCUAGAAAGAGUCACAAAAUUAAAAUCAGUAAUUUUGAUUACAUCAAAUUAAAAAGUUUUUGUACAAACAAAACCAAUGUAACUAAAAUUAAAAGGGAAGUAACAAAUUGGGAAACAAUCUUCAUAACAAAAACCUCUGACAAAGGUCUAAUUACUCAAAUUUAUAAAGAACUAAACCAAUAGUACAAAAAAAUCAAGACAUUCUCCAAUUGAUAAAUGGGCAAGGGACAUGAAUAGGCAAUUUUCAGUCAAAGAAAUCAAAACUAUUAAUAAGCACAUGAAAAAGUGCUCUAAAUCUCAUAAUCAGAGAAAUGCAAAUCAAAACAACUCUGAGGUAUCACCUCACACCUAGACGAUUGGCUAACAUCAUAACAAAGGAAAGUAAUGAAUGCUGCAGGGAAUGUGGCAAAGUUGGGACAUUAAUGCAUUGCUGGAGGAAUUGUGAAUUGAUCCAGCCAUUCUGGAGGGCAAUUUGGAACUAUGCCCAAAGGGCGCUAAAAGACUGUCUGCCCUUUGAUCCAGCCAUAGCACUGCUGGGUUUGUACCCCAAAGAGAUAAUAAGGAAAAAGACCUGUACAAGAAUAUUCAUAGCUGCGCUCUUUGUGGUGGCAAAAAAACUGGAAAAUGAGGGGAUGCCCAUCAAUUGGGGAAUGGCUGAACAAACUGUGGUAUCUGUUGGUGAUGGAAUACUAUUGUGCUCAAAGGAAUAAUGAAAUGGAGGAAUUCCAUGGGGACUGGAACAACCUCCAGGAAGUGAUGCAGAGCAAAAGGAGCAGAACCAGGAGAAUGUUGUACACAGAGACUGAUACACUGUGGCACAAUUGAACAUAAUGGACUUCUCCAUUAGUGGCAAUGCCAUGAUCCUGAACAACUCAGAUGGAUUUAUUGGAAAGAACACUAUCCACAUUCAGAGGGGAAACUGUGGGAGUAGAAACACAGAAGAAAAACAACUGCUUGAAUACAUGGAUCGAGGGGGAUAUGAUUGGGGAUAUAUACACUAAAGGAACAUCCUAGUGCAAACAACAACAUGGAAGUAGGUUCUGAUCAAGGUCACAUGUAAUAUCCAGUGGAAUUGCAUGUCAGCAAUGGGAAGGGUGGGGAGAGGAGAGGGAGGAAUAGAAUACGAUUCUUGUAACCAAGGAAUAAUGUUCUAAAAUGACUAAAUAAAUAACUUACAAUGAAAAAAAAAGUAGUUCAGGGCCAGAUCUGAAACAUGGGCCUUUUCAACCCAAGACCACUGUCUUAUUCCAUAUUGGCCAUUAGGAACCAACACAAAGCCUUCUGCCCCAUCAACUCACACACGCUAUAGCUGAUAAACUGCCGGACCUGGAAUUAAGAAGACCUAAUUUCAAAUCUUGCUUCAGACACUUACUGCCUAUAUGGCUCUGGGCAAGUCAUUUGAUUUCUUUCAGACUCAGUUCCCUCAUCUGUAAAAUGGAGAUAAUAAGAGAAACUACCUCCCAGGGUUAUUGUGAUGAGCAAAUGAGAUACUAUUGGUAACAGGCUGCCAAUCUCAGAGCCUUCUAUAAAUGAUAUCUAUUAUUAUUGUUGUUCUCCUUAGAAGCAUACACAUGACUUCUGGAUCUCAGUUUAGUCAGAAGGGUCAGUGGGUGGUCAGGAUGUAUUCUCCUCUUGCUCCCAGCCAUGAUGAGCCUUUCCCCCUCCCCUCCUCCAAUUCAGAAGCCCAGGAGUGGGAUAACAAAGGUGAAUUGACUCUGACAUCCCUCCCUACCCCUCUUACACAAAUCCAGCAUCCUCUUCUUCUCAUCCGUCCCUGGGCAAAGGGGACAAUGUGCUCUUCUGUGUUGGAGAAGAGAGAUGCCAGAGCAGAGCUCCCCUCCCCCAGCUAUCUGUCCCCCCAAAUUUAUAGGUUUCUUAUUGUCCUGCACAAAGACUUGAGGACCUGGAGACUGGGAGGGGGAGAUGCACAUUAAAAAGUCAGCUGCUGAGUAACAGUCUACCACACCCACAGCCACCAUAAAUCUGCCAGUGGCCAGAGCUCCUGCUCCUCCCCCUAUCCUGGGUGGAAAGGGGAGCCUAUUCCCUGUGCCCUUUGCCAGCCUCCCCCUAGGAUCCUGGAUCAUCUCCUGAACCUCCCCUUCCCUACCCUGAACUCGAAUCCAUCUUUGGAGGCUUUGGAGUGGGAUGGGAUGGGAAGGUCUAUCCUGAGCAAAAGAUGCAAAGCUCUGGGUGAUCCAAGAUUUACAUUGUACUUUGUCAUCCCCUGAAAGUCAGGCUGUCCUUCCUGAGAUCUAUCUUCCAUCUGUCCAGUUGCAAUUGCAGCCUUUUCCUGUUUGUUCAGACUGGGAUAACAAAAGGUCAACACAGGGGCAGCUGGGGGGCUCAGUGGAUUGAGAGCCAGACCUGGAGACAGGAGGUCCUGGGUUCAAAUCCGGAUGUAGACACUUUCUAGCCAUGUGACUCUGGGCAAGUCACUUAAACCCAAUUGCCUACCCAUUGCCACUCUCCUGCCUUGGAACCAAUAUACUAUACUGUUUCCAAGAUGGAAGAGAAGGGUUUUAAUUUUUUUUAAAUGUCAUCUUCGAAAUGAACUGUCAAGAUCUCCAAAUCUAACCUCCUUAUUUAAUAUAUGAGGAAACAACCAGAGAGUAGUGUAGUGACUUGCCCAAGGUCACACAAUGAAUAGCACAAUUGGGAUUUAAACCUGAUUUUUCUGACUCUGGAUCCAAGAUUUUCCCUGUGUAAAUAUAAUUUGGAUAGGGGGAAGGAAAGUAACCGAGAGGGAUAAACAUAUAAAUAUCGAAUUUAUUAACAGAUAAGGGUAAGGUUUUGGG
Monodelphis domestica (gray short-tailed opossum) is the source of this 5465-nucleotide non-coding RNA. NCBI's taxonomy places the organism in Eukaryota, Metazoa, Chordata, Mammalia, Didelphimorphia, Didelphidae. The record is from RefSeq and is a predicted model, not a curated record.